GAUGAACGCUGGCGGCAUGCCUAAUACAUGCAAGUCGAACGAAGCCUUCAGAAAGCUUGCUUUCGAAAAGGCUUAGUGGCGAACGGGUGAGUAACACGUAGGUAACCUGCCCAUGUGCCUGGGAUAACUGCUGGAAACGGUAGCUAAAACCAGAUAGGUAUGAGGAUCGCAUGAAGCUCAUAUUAAAGCACCGUCAGGUGUGAACAUGGAUGGACCUGCGGCGCAUUAGCUAGUUGGCGGGGUAACGGCCCACCAAGGCAGUGAUGCGUAGCCGACCUGAGAGGGCGAACGGCCACAUUGGGACUGAGACACGGCCCAAACUCCUACGGGAGGCAGCAGUAGGGAAUUUUCGUCAAUGGGGGGAACCCUGAACGAGCAAUGCCGCGUGAGUGAAGAAGGUCUUCGGAUCGUAAAGCUCUGUUGUAAGCGAAGAACGGUCCGCAUAGGAAAUGAUGCGGGAG
This 461-nucleotide ribosomal RNA is filed under the name uncultured bacterium. RNAcentral describes it as "bacterial SSU rRNA". It matches the Rfam family "Bacterial small subunit ribosomal RNA", at positions 28 to 478 of the family's 1533-position model. The record is from RNAcentral.